Molecule: ribosomal RNA, 467 nt
Filed under: uncultured bacterium
Lineage: Bacteria
Description: partial 16S ribosomal RNA
Rfam family: Bacterial small subunit ribosomal RNA
Source: RNAcentral
GACGAACGCUGGCGGCGUGCUUAACACAUGCCAGUCGAACGGAAAGGCCCUGCUUUUGUGGGGUGCUCGAGUGGCGAACGGGUGAGUAACACGUGAGUAACCUGCCCUUGACUUUGGGAUAACUUCAGGAAACUGGGGCUAAUACCGGAUAGGAGCUCCUGCUGCAUGGUGGGGGUUGGAAAGUUUCGGCGGUUGGGGAUGGACUCGCGGCUUUCAGCUUGUUGGUGGGGUAGUGGCUUACCAAGGCUUUGACGGGUAGCCGGCCUGAGAGGGUGACCGGCCACAUUGGGACUGAGAUACGGCCCAGACUCCUACGGGAGGCAGCAGUGGGGAAUAUUGCACAAUGGGCGGAAGCCUGAUGCAGCAACGCCGCGUGCGGGAUGACGGCCUUCGGGUUGUAAACCGCUUUCGCCUGUGACGAAGCGUGAGUGACGGUAAUGGGUAAAGAAGCACCGGCUAACUACGUG